AGGAAGUAGUUUUUACCGCAGUUAGACGAAGCAAGCAAGCUAAAUUAACCAUAAAAACAAUUAUCACUCGCAUUUUUAAGCAUUGCCCUGCGAUGGACCGGUGACCCGUCCAAGCGGAUCCCGUCCAGGCGGAUCCCGUCCAGUCCAGGCGGAUCCCGCCUCUCGCCCGAAACGUUCCCUGGAGAGGAGGCACCCUCACUCCUCCCGACCCCACUAGGGACGAGGGUGUACAGGAAAAGGAUGGAUGUAUUCUUUAACAUUUCCCAACAUGGUCCCAUGAAUUAUGGAAAUGGGGAACGGAAACUGAAGGAAGUUGCUGAGCCGAGGUUUUCUGGAUGAACUGGAUGCACAAAAAAUCCAAACAAAUCAUGCUGGGUUUUGGCUUCGGAGUGGCCUCUUUGCACCGGGGGCGUGAAGGGCGCGAGGAUCUGACAGCGGCAACGCAGACAAAGGCUGGAACGAAGGCAAACCGCACAAACACAGGGAGGUUAGAUGAGCUUUGACAUGUGACCUUUUCUGGAAUCAUGUGAUCAUGCAUAUUUAUGUUUAAUGAAAACAUUACAUGACUCAAAAUGUGGAGACUUUUUUAUUUAAAGUUUAAUCUGAACACAAUUACGAAGAACAGCAGAGGUUAAAUGUGAUGUAAGGUGUUUUUUUUGUCUCUUUUAUAGCUCAGUUUGAAGACUUUUCUUCUAAGUUGUUUAUUUUUUGGUAACCAAUGUCACUCUGUUGGCUUUUUAACAAAAUAGUUACA
Xiphophorus couchianus (Monterrey platyfish) is the source of this 754-nucleotide long non-coding RNA. RefSeq lists it as uncharacterized. The record is from RefSeq and is a predicted model, not a curated record. Lineage: Eukaryota; Metazoa; Chordata; Actinopteri; Cyprinodontiformes; Poeciliidae. The transcript has 3 exons.